This 301-nucleotide ribosomal RNA is filed under the name uncultured bacterium. Its description in RNAcentral is "partial 16S ribosomal RNA". It matches the Rfam family "Bacterial small subunit ribosomal RNA", at positions 509 to 809 of the family's 1533-position model. The record is from RNAcentral.
CAGUAGCCGCGGGAACACGAAGGGUGCAAGCGUUACUCGGAAUUACUGGGCGUAAAGCGUGCGUAGGUGGUGGUUUAAGUCCGUUGUGAAAGCCCUGGGCUCAACCUGGGAAUUGCAGUGGAUACUGGGUCACUAGAGUGUGGUAGAGGAUAGUGGAAUUUCCGGUGUAGCAGUGAAAUGCGUAGAGAUCGGAAGGAACAUCUGUGGCGAAGGCGACUAUCUGGGCCAACACUGACACUGAGGCACGAAAGCGUGGGGAGCAAACAGGAUUAGAUACCCGGGUAGUCCCUGUCUCUUAUAA